Molecule: ribosomal RNA, 301 nt
Filed under: uncultured bacterium
Lineage: Bacteria
Description: partial 16S ribosomal RNA
Rfam family: Bacterial small subunit ribosomal RNA
Source: RNAcentral
CAGUAGCCGCGGUAACACGGAGGGUGCAAGCGUUAUCCGGAUUUAUUGGGUUUAAAGGGUCCGUAGGCGGACUUAUAAGUCAGUGGUGAAAGCCUGUCGCUUAACGAUAGAACUGCCAUUGAUACUGUAAGUCUUGAGUAUAUUUGAGGUAGCUGGAAUAAGUAGUGUAGCGGUGAAAUGCAUAGAUAUUACUUAGAACACCAAUUGCGAAGGCAGGUUACCAAGAUAUAACUGACGCUGAGGGACGAAAGCGUGGGUAGCGAACAGGAUUAGAUACCCCCGUAGUCCCUGUCUCUUAUAC